Molecule: ribosomal RNA, 840 nt
Filed under: Terschellingia longicaudata
Lineage: Eukaryota; Metazoa; Nematoda; Chromadorea; Monhysterida; Linhomoeidae
Description: SSU rRNA
Rfam family: Eukaryotic small subunit ribosomal RNA
Source: RNAcentral
UACUUGGAUACUGUGGCAAUUCUAGAGCUAAUACACGCACACAAGCCGCAACCUUACGGGAGCGGUGCAUUUAUUAGAACAAAACCAAUCGGGGCAACCCGUCUAUUGGUGAAUCUGAAUAACCCAGCUGAUCGCACGGUCUUUGCACCGGCGACGCAUCUUUCAAGUGUCUGCCUUAUCAACUUUCGACGGUAGUUUAUGUGACUACCGUGGUUAUAACGGGUAACGGAGAAUAAGGGUUCGACUCCGGAGAGGGAGCCUGAGAAACGGCUACCACAUCCAAGGAAGGCAGCAGGCGCGCAAAUUACCCACUCUCAGCACGAGGAGGUAGUGACGAAAAAUAACGAGGCGGUUCUCUUUGAGGCCCGCUAUCGGAAUGAGAACAAUUUAAAUCCUUUAACGAGGAUCUAGCGGAGGGCAAGUCUGGUGCCAGCAGCCGCGGUAAUUCCAGCUCCGCCAGUGUAUAUCUAUGCUGCUGCGGUUAAAAAGCUCGUAGUUGGAUCUGCGUGCUAGGAACCGGUCCGUCCACUGGGCGAGAACUGGUCUCCGGCAUUAUAACCGCUGGUUUUCCCUCGGUGCUCUUAACCGGGUGCCUUGGGUGGCUAGCAAGUUUACUUUGAAAAAAUUAGAGUGCUCAACACAGGCGUCAGCCUUGAAUACUAGUGCAUGGAAUAAUAGAAUAGGACUUCGGUUCUGUUUUGUUGGUUUUCGGAACAGAAGUAAUGAUUAAGAGGGACAGACGGGGGCAUUUGUACUGCGACGUUAGAGGUGAAAUUCUUGGAUCGUCGCAUGACAAACAACUGCGAAAGCAUUUGCCAAGAAUGUUUCAUAAUCAGAACG